This is a long non-coding RNA of Lycium barbarum (goji berry), 767 nucleotides long. RefSeq lists it as uncharacterized. Lineage: Eukaryota; Viridiplantae; Streptophyta; Magnoliopsida; Solanales; Solanaceae. The transcript is spliced from 2 exons. The record is from RefSeq and is a predicted model, not a curated record.
CUACUAAAAAAAACAGGAUUUCCCGACCUCAAAAAGCUGACCUCAUUUGAGGUCAGAAAAAAACCGACCUCAUGAGGUCGGUAAAGUCAUAAUAAUUAUUUUUUAAUUUUUUUAAAAAUAAACCAAUCUCAUGAGGUCAGUAAUAUUGUACCAAAAUUUGAAAAAAUAAUUUACCGAUCUCAUGAGCUCCGGAAAAUUAGUCAUAAAAUUAAAACAUACAGAUCACCCAAAUAAACAUUUCUCUCUUUCCUCUCAACUUUUCUCUCCCUCUCUCUCUCUAACCCUAACCUACUAACGCCAUCGACGUCGCCAAAUUCCUGCCAGUCACCGUCGUCACCGCAGCCCCUACCCAGUCCCGCCUUUGCCGUCGCCGUCGCCGUCGACGGCGAACCAUUGGAGAAUCAAUAUCAACAUUCAAAGGCCGAGUUUCUUCGUACUCUGCGAUCCAACACACAGCUGACAGAAGAACAAAUAGAGGAAAGGUGACUUGAGAGUGUUGUUGGUCCCACUAGGUUUGGCAUAGCUUACGGAAUGCCACAUAGUGUAGACUAGUUUAAUGUUUUGUGGAUGUUUGCAAAUGUUGAAGUAGUUUAAUGUUUGUUUUGAUGUUUGCGAAGGUUGAAGUAGCUUAAUGUCUCUUGUGAAUGUUUGAUUGAUGUUUUUGUUCAACUUUGAAGUAGUUUCGAAUUGAAUUUGAUGUAUUGAUGGUUGUAAUAUAUGUGUUGUAAUAGUAGCUUAAUGUUUUAUGUAUUUAUAGUAGUUUGGUA